Paenibacillus sp. P1XP2 is the source of this 160-nucleotide non-coding RNA. NCBI's taxonomy places the organism in Bacteria, Bacillati, Bacillota, Bacilli, Caryophanales, Paenibacillaceae. The record is from Rfam.
UAAAGUUGAAUAUGCUUACCGUAGACAGUAGGUGCCCCGCAAAGGCUUAAUUUCCUACCGAGGUGUUGUGAUAGAAUGAGGAUGGUUGCUCCUGACGUUCGUGUGGACAAUCAUCAUUUAUCAGGCCUUCGUGAUUCUACGGAGCUUUUUACAUGCCUAG